ACCCCUCAUUGUUUUACUUGCAUCUCUUUGAUAGCUGAUGAAGCUGAGAAGAACUGAAGUCUUUUGGGGGACUCUA
This 76-nucleotide microRNA precursor is filed under the name Dasypus novemcinctus (nine-banded armadillo). RNAcentral describes it as "miRNA (ENSDNOG00000027317.1)". Lineage: Eukaryota; Metazoa; Chordata; Mammalia; Cingulata; Dasypodidae. The record is from RNAcentral.